Molecule: ribosomal RNA, 411 nt
Filed under: uncultured bacterium
Lineage: Bacteria
Description: bacterial SSU rRNA
Rfam family: Bacterial small subunit ribosomal RNA
Source: RNAcentral
ACCUGGGGUACGCAGAAGAAACGGCAGAACUUGAAAGUGCGAUAGGCGUACGGAACUCAUGGUGUAGGGGUGAAAUCCGUUGAUAUCAUGGGGAACACCAAAAGCGAAGGCAACUGACUGGCGCAUUUCUGACACUGAGACACGAAAGCGUGGGUAGCGAACUGGAUUAGAUACCCAGGUAGUCCACGCCCUAAACGAUCUUCACUAGCUUUCGGGGGAAUCGACCCCCUCGGAGGCGAAGCUAACGCGUUAAGUGAAGCGCCUGGGUAGUACGGCCGCAAGGCUAAAACUCAAAGGAAUAGACGGGGACUUGCACAAGCAGUGGAUUAUGCGGUUCAAUUCGAUGACAAACGAAAAACCUUACCAGGGUUAGAAAUUAAAUCGAAGAUAAGCAGAAACGUUUAUCGUUCG